Molecule: transfer RNA, 76 nt
Filed under: Clostridia bacterium
Lineage: Bacteria; Bacillati; Bacillota; Clostridia
Description: tRNA-Val
Rfam family: tRNA
About the family: Transfer RNA (tRNA) molecules are approximately 80 nucleotides in length. Their secondary structure includes four short double-helical elements and three loops (D, anti-codon, and T loops).
Source: RNAcentral
GGUCGCAUGGCUCAGUUGGUAGAGCAUAUCGUUCACAUCGAUGAGGUCACAGGUUCGAGUCCUGUUGCGACCACCA